RNAcentral lists this unclassified non-coding RNA (601 nucleotides) under Hevea brasiliensis (rubber tree). The record is from RNAcentral. Lineage: Eukaryota; Viridiplantae; Streptophyta; Magnoliopsida; Malpighiales; Euphorbiaceae.
GGGGACUUCAUCUCGAAGCUUCCUAUGGUGAUGAAUCCUGCAACACUGGCUCUAGUGUUGGCCACAUUGUUGGCGAUUGCAAGUGGUUCUCGGUUCGAUGAGCUCUUCCAGCCCAGCUGGGCUAUGGAUCACAUGAGCUUCGACGGCGAGAUGGUUCAGCUAAAGCUGGACAAUUACUCCGGUGCUGGAUUUGCUUCAAAGGGGAAGUACCUGUACGGCAAGACUACAGCAGAGAUUAAGCUGGUAGCCGGUGACUCCGCCGGCACUGUCACCGCCUUCUACACGUCGUCGGAAGGUGUUAGUCACAACGAAUUUGACUUCGAGUUCCUCGGUAAUACCACUGGUGAGCCGUAUCUCGUGCAAACCAAUAUUUAUGUAAACGGAGUGGGAAAUCGGGAGCAGAGGAUGGAUCUGUGGUUCGACCCGACGGCGGAGUUUCACGCCUACUCGAUUGUGUGGAAUGAGGGGCAAGUUGUAUUCAUGGUGGACGAGACUCCGAUCCGUGUCUACGAUAACAAGGAGGAGAAGGGGGUGGCGUUCCCGAAGGACCAGCCGAUGGGGGUUUAUAGCUCGAUUUGGAAUGCUGAUGAUUGGGCGACAC